This 211-nucleotide unclassified non-coding RNA is filed under the name Hevea brasiliensis (rubber tree). Lineage: Eukaryota; Viridiplantae; Streptophyta; Magnoliopsida; Malpighiales; Euphorbiaceae. The record is from RNAcentral.
GCCGGAGGCGCUGGAGACCGCCAGGAAGGUCUUCCGGCCUGAUCUCUAUGAUGCGGCACUCGGCGCACCGAAGAAGUCCGCACGGGGGAUUCAAGACGGCGUGGGCGCGUUUGACGGCCCCUUGUUCGACGCCAAUGACGUCGCUGCGCAUCUUGCAUCGGUGACCAUCAAGCGCCGGCUCUCCUAACAACGAUUCUGCAUUCAGCACCGA